Molecule: ribosomal RNA, 253 nt
Filed under: uncultured bacterium
Lineage: Bacteria
Description: partial 16S ribosomal RNA
Rfam family: Bacterial small subunit ribosomal RNA
Source: RNAcentral
UACGGAGGGUGCGAGCGUUGUCCGGAAUCACUGGGCGUAAAGGGCGCGUAGGCGGCCUGAUAAGUAGGGGGUGAAAUCCUGCGGCUUAACCGCAGGGCUGCCUUCUAAACUGUCAGGCUGGAGCACUGUAGAGGCAGAUGGAAUUCCGGGUGUAGCGGUGGAAUGCGUAGAGAUCCGGAAGAACACCGGUGGCGAAGGCGGUCUGCUGGGCAGUUGCUGACACUGAGGCGCGACAGCGUGGGGAGCAAACAGG